Long non-coding RNA from Sorex araneus (European shrew), 1817 nucleotides. RefSeq lists it as uncharacterized. The transcript is spliced from 3 exons. Lineage: Eukaryota; Metazoa; Chordata; Mammalia; Eulipotyphla; Soricidae. The record is from RefSeq and is a predicted model, not a curated record.
CAGAGGAGGAAGCCGCGGCUGGGGCAGGGGAGCCUGGGGAGGAGGGGGCAGCCCGAGACCUCCCCAGCGUCCCUGGCCCCGGAGGGGCGCCCCCAGACACCCUCGCCGCAGCCGCCGUCACGAGAGCUCAUCAGAGGCGCAGACGCGGGCUUGCAGCCAAUUUCCACCGUCUGCUCAUCGAAAUGAGAAAUCGGAGGCUGCCCGCCCGGGAGCGCUGAUAACACUCUCAGGAAUCACUCCUGCUGGUGCUCGGGGGACCAUAUGUGGUGCUAGAGAUCGAACCGGAGUUGGAGGCAUGGAAGGCAAGUGACCUGCCAGUUGUCCGGUCUCCCCUAUAUCCGAGUGGCUCCUCCCCCAGUCCCCUGGGACUGUGCCUCCACCUCUCCACUCGGUGUCAAGAGACUCAUGUUGGAGCAGAAGCAAGGGGACCAACGGGUGCCAGCUGCCAGCCAGGUGUUGAGUUCACGUCACUUAGGCCCUGCGGUGAGUUUAGCCGGUGCCAGAACAGGGCACAAGGCCCAGCGGUGCCAUGUGCUAGCUGGGAAAGGCAGACACGCCCUUUCAUCUCUUCGAAUCUCAUUUCUUCACCGCAAUCUGUACUACCAACUUCACGGGUCACUGUGAGGAUCAAGUUAUUUCAACUUAAGUUGUUUAUUUCAAACACUACCUGGUGCAUGGUGGACUCAAAUAUGUCUACAGGAAAGCAAAUGGCGUGAGAACUGCCACCACAGUCUCCAAAGAGAUCAGUGGGGAAGGGGCAUCUUUAAACGAAAUGGGGAUCCCUAAAGGGGUCUUGAGGGAUGAGUAGGAGUUUGCUGAGCUUACAGCGGGCCUUCCCGAUUGACGAUGCAGCCUGAGCCAGUGCCAGCUCACCGGUGAAGAAGGAGAAGGCCAGAGGGUGAGAGGUCGGGCAUAAGGGGAAGUCAGGCAUAGUCCUACAUAGUCAUAAUAACAGGCCACAAAGUCACACACACACACACACACACACACACACACACACACACACACAAAUCACAAAAGCAGCUGUGAUGUGCCUGUAGGUCAUUCGUCCGUGACAGGCACUCUGGGUCUGCAGGCAUGAGAGGGUGCCCAGGUCGCUCCAUCCUGCAGGGACCACGACUGCCCAUGCCACCCGUGCUCCGUCCGCGCCGUCCCCGUUUCCCUGGGCGUGGGCAGGCGCCCAGCCCCGCGGGCCCAGAGGAGGAGCCGGGCCGCGGCCCCCUGGCAGGUUCUCACAGCCCCUGCUCCCCCUGGCGCAUUCUUGGCCCUGCGUCUCUCACAGAUGCUGGAAGAAAUGAGGAAAAUGUUCCUUGGACCAGCUCACUGGUAUUUAGAUUUCCCCAGAACUCCAAACCAGAGCCGCGGCCAAGCCGGCGGGGGGGCCCCCGGACACGCCCCAAGUCAGAGAGGCUGCUCGGGGCUCCAACUUUCUCAGCCCUUCCCCGUGAGCGACCCCCCCGACCCCCACUCCCCGUGCCCCCUCUGGCCUGGAGCGAGCGAUAUGGGAAAGAGCUUUUCCUUCUCCCCGUUGCCUGGGUGACACCGCGGCCCGGAGGCCCGUCCACUCAGCCCGUCUCCCGGAGACUGUGGCAUCGCCCAGAGCCGCACAGCCUGGGUUUAGCGCCUUCCUCCUGGGGCACAGUGGCAGCGGCCUCUGGGGCGGGGGGUGGGUUCCCAAUGUCAUCCCUUGGGAUGAUAGAGACACCCUCCCACCCCCCGCCACCUGGGGUGUGAGCUGCAGAGAGAUGCCAUCCUCAAGAGCACAGGGGGCUGGGGAUUGGACACAGCGGGGAAGGCGCUUGGCUGGCAUGCAACUG